ACACCGGCAGCUCUAGUGGUAGCUGGUUUUAUUGGGCCUAAAGCGUUCGUAGCCGGUUUGGUAAGUCACUGGUGAAAUCCUGUAGCUUAACUAUGGGAUUUGCUGGUGUUACUGUUGACCUUGGGGUCGGCAGAGGUGAGCGAUACUCCCAUGGUGGGGUGGAAAUUCUGUAAUCUAGGGAGUACCACCUGUGGCGAAGGCGGCUAACUGGAACGAGCCUGACGGUGAGGGACGAAAGCUAGGGGCGCGAGCCGGAUUAGAUACCCGGGUAGUCCUAGCCGUAAACGAUGCGGACUUGGUGUUGGGAUGGAUUUGAGCCGCUCCGGUGCCGAAGGGAAGCUGUUAAGUCCGCCGCCUGGGAAGUACGGUCGCAAGACUGAAACUUAAAGGAAUUGGCGGGG
Molecule: ribosomal RNA, 401 nt
Filed under: uncultured bacterium
Lineage: Bacteria
Description: partial 16S ribosomal RNA
Rfam family: Archaeal small subunit ribosomal RNA
Source: RNAcentral